UGGGGAAUAUUGGACAAUGGGCGCAAGCCUGAUCCAGCAAUGCCGCGUGAGUGAUGAAGGCCUUAGGGUUGUAAAGCUCUUUUACCCGUGAUGAUAAUGACAGUAGCGGGAGAAUAAGCCCCGGCUAACUCCGUGCCAGCAGCCGCGGUAAUACGGAGGGGGCUAGCGUUGUUCGGAAUUACUGGGCGUAAAGCGCACGUAGGCGGCUUUGUAAGUUAGAGGUGAAAGCCUGGAGCUCAACUCCAGAACUGCCUUUAAGACUGCAUCGCUUGAAUCCAGGAGAGGUGAGUGGAAUUCCGAGUGUAGAGGUGAAAUUCGUAGAUAUUCGGAAGAACACCAGUGGCGAAGGCGGCUCACUGGACUGGUAUUGACGCUGAGGUGCGAAAGCG
RNAcentral lists this ribosomal RNA (389 nucleotides) under uncultured bacterium. RNAcentral's name for it is "bacterial SSU rRNA". It matches the Rfam family "Bacterial small subunit ribosomal RNA", at positions 355 to 761 of the family's 1533-position model. The record is from RNAcentral.